RNAcentral lists this ribosomal RNA (465 nucleotides) under uncultured bacterium. RNAcentral describes it as "partial 16S ribosomal RNA". It matches the Rfam family "Bacterial small subunit ribosomal RNA", at positions 28 to 507 of the family's 1533-position model. The record is from RNAcentral.
GACGAACGCUGGCGGCGUGCUUAACACAUGCAAGUCGUACGGUAAGGCCCUUUCGGGGGUACACGAGUGGCGAACGGGAGAGUAACACGUGAGUAACCUGCCCACAACUUUGGGAUAACGCUAGGAAACUGGUGCUAAUACUGGAUAUGUGCUCCUGCUGCAUGGUGGGGGUUGGAAAGCUCCGGCGGUUGUGGAUGGACUCGCGGCCUAUCAGCUUGUUGGUGGGGUAGUGGCCUACCAAGGCGGCGACGGGUAGCCGGCCUGAGAGGGUGACCGGCCACAUUGGGACUGAGAUACGGCCCAGACUCCUACGGGAGGCAGCAGUGGGGAAUAUUGCACAAUGGGCGCAAGCCUGAUGCAGCAACGCCGCGUGCGGGAUGACGGCCUUCGGGUUGUAAACCGCUUUCAGCAGGGACGAAGCUUUUUGUGACGGUACCUGCAGAAGAAGCACCGGCUAACUACGUG